GGAAGUUGCCGAGAAAGUUGCUGCUCGGCGGGAGGAGCCCAACUUGGCCGCGGCCCCGAUCCUCUGCCCCCGAGUUGGUCGGCUUUGCUCGUCUCGGGCUUCGGGUGUGCCGUCGCCGCAGGAGGAAGCAGCUGCAUUCCUGCGUUCCCCACCAAAGGUCGCUUCUUCGCGGCCCCCGUAACGGGCUGCGCCGUUUCCUCGUGCCCCGCUGAGUCGCUUCGGCCAGCCGCCGGGUUUGGAGCCUUUGGAGGAAGCUUCCUCCCCGCCUCACCACCCAAGUUCUUUCCCCCCGGAAUGGCCGAAGAAGUCCGGCAAAGGCGGCUGGCGUGGAAGUACGGGAGCCGCUGGAGCGGAGAUCUUCUGCCCUCCGCCGCGUUUUGAUUCCCUUUUCGGAAGGGCGCCGUUCUGCCUCCCCUUCCAGCUUCCUGCAUUUCUGCUGGGGUGGCGAGGCCGGCUCUGGACAUGUUUGUUUGCUCAAAGACAACCGGUAAACAGGGACUGCUUAAUUGGGACAGGCACGCAUCCUUCAGCGGCUUUUUCCUUUGGGGUUGGGUGGCUUUUUAGAACGUGUCGCAGCGAAUGCACCGAACGAGCGGAGCUUUCUCGGUAUUUUAGAUGCUAGCUAACAGAUUAAAACUGUACGUAUUUAAUUCGAGACAUUCUGCAACCACUAUUCGUGUGUAUGUAAUAACAAGCAUGCAUAAUGGUGAAUGUAUCCGUAGGAGGCGUGCGGAGGUGCCGUGUCUGCCUUGCAGAUAUUUAUGUGACCGCUUUCGGGUACUUGGUACUUUUGUUUUCUCUUUGUUUUAGUUUGAUGGCAAAAUGGUUUUUUUAAAAAUAAUUAAUUUUUCUAGAAAUGAGAGUGCUGGACGCUCCUGGGUGCAUUUUUUCAGUUUGUCAACUACAGUUUGUGCCCCUCAUCCCUGGGGAAGGAAAUCCCAAUUGAUGAUCAAUCUGUGUAGCAGGAAUGCCUCCUACUACUCUUGGCAUUUGAGCUCUGCAGAAAAGCGACAGGGAUGGGGGCCAAACCAAAGUGCUUGGGUUUCUACUAAGGCAGCAAGAGAACAUCUGGGGAGGUGUAGGGUGUUUAAUCUUGCUGCAAAUAGUGUCUUAUCCAGAGAUCAUGGGCAGCUCUUCCAUCCCCAGUUUGUCUGUAUGUGCCUCAGCCCAGCUAGCUGGCUUGUGUACUGCAGUCCUUCCAUCUCCUUUCACAUGUGGAUUCUAUCAGUGUAAACAUGCCAAAGCACAUCUGUCUGUACAAUUAAUACGAUGAUCCAAGCAUCAUUCUUUAAUUGGCUUUCUCAGCUGUUCGCCCCCCCCCCUUGCAGUCUUGUUCUGCUCUGAUUUCCAGAUCUAAGUUGCCCUAAAUAGAAGGCUGCUUUUACCACUAAGGCAGAAGAAGGGUUAAUAUGCAGUAGCAGAAGAGUGGUGUGCUCUGGGGCAUUUUUAGCUGCCUCUGGAAAAGGUGUAGGGGAGAUAAUCAAAACCUGGCUAACUAUGGGCUUAAGCUUUGGCAGGUGCCAGAAGUAGAGGUGGAUGAACAGCUCUGACUUCGAGGCAGGAUGGAAGAAAUUGGAAGCUUUCUUCUUCCUAACGCAGAAGAGAACAAAAUUGCCCAAAAUGAUGUGGGCUCACUAGUAUCUCAGAGAUCAAAUAGAGGUGCUUGAUACACCUUGUGAACUGCUGUAUUUUUUUGAAGUUUUUGCCAGAUGGGUAUUAAAUUAAAAAAUACUCUUAUUAAUAGAGAAAUGUUCGUGGGUGAGCAGACAGCUUACUAUAACUGCUGUGAACAACUGAACACAUACAUUCAGAGAAAAUGUGGCGUUAACACUGGAAAAAGGCACAUUGUAAGACCCCCCCAAAAUUAAAUAUUUGCCUAAAGAAAAAUAAAAGAAAUGACAAACUUUUCUUUUGUGAAAUGGCUACAUAGGUAGGAGCACCUUGUGAAAACCAGCAAGUUUAUUUAGCUUUUUUUGUCUCUUAAGACAAAAGUGCUGGAAAUAGAAUAGGUGAGGUGGGGAUUCUUGCUGUAAGGCAUUUGGUCUGCCAAGCACUGAUUUGGCUGAAUAUAGUCCCCCUCUGUAAACUGAAGUAGGAGAUCCAUAAAAGUCCCAAACAUGGAUGAGACUGACUCUUCACUCUAAACUGAGUUAUACAAAGAGAUCAAACGGUAAAAAUUGAAGUAAGUUGUGGAAUAAAAGCUAUUGGAAAUGCUGCACUGUUGUGGUAUUUUCAGAAGUAGGACUGCUCCCCCCCCCCCGGCAUCUGAAUUAAACUGGGGAGAAGUACACUUAAGCCAGAGGUUACAGGAUUGAAAGUUCCAUUGGCUCAACUUGCCUAUUGCCUUGAGCCAUGGUAAAGUUAUACUGCCUUGGGGUCAAUGGACUUGAGCUUCUUUUCUAAGAUGUAACCUUCCUUGCUGGAAGACACCUCAGGGUAUGUACAGUAAUUUUGUUGUUGUUGCUUGAAAAUGUAGCAAAGGAGCGAGAAUGCAGCUUGCAAAAGUAAACACAUCUAAUGCUGUGAAAAUGUGGGUCAACUUAGAUGUAUAGCCACUAAGCUAGCAAUAUAAAGUUCCUAACAGUUGCUGCUAAACAAGUGUUAGGCAUGGUACUAGUAAACUAUUUGAAGGUACCGUAUUUAUCAGAAUUCCCAUUCUCUCUGCUCCUUUGCAAUGGAUAUGUGCAAUCAACACCUAAUACCAGGAGUAUGCAGCCUUCUCAGCAUUUCUUUUCCUAAUUUAGCUGCACAGUCUAUAAAUGCUUUGACUGUAUUUUGAUUUGGAAAUUUUCUUGUUUGAACAAAAUCAACUCCACAGCACAGGGGAGGAAAAGGAAAUGGCUGCUGUUAAAUAAGUAGAGCUGAUGUAUUAAUGUGAGGGCUUCACAGAUCAGAAACUCUUGAGGGCUGCUUCCCUCUACAUGGCAAGUCAAAGCAGCCUCUGGGGCUGAGAUGCAGAAAUGCCACUGGGAUCUUAAGAAGGGAGCCAGAGAGAUGGACUGUUGCAAAGCUCCUCAAACCAGAAGGCUGAUUUAUAUCAGCAAGUGUGUUAUUGCUUAAAGGGUUGUGACUCGGGAUCUGCCUUUUUGUACAGAAAGACAGCAGAAGACCUGUUUACAUUUCUUCUCGAGAGAAGUUUUCUCUAGCCUCUUCAAACAGACUUUUUUCUUCAUGAACACCCUAUCCUUCCCCCCCCCCCCCCGCACAUAGUAUCGUAGUCAAUAAGAAUGGGUGGCUACCAGUGAAUUAAGUUACGCCUCACCUUUCUAUAUCAUACUGUACAGAGGCAGCAAUUGGGUAUUGUUUCUAGUCUAAUAUUCCUGUUAUACUAACAUUUGUUACUAACAGACCUUGUAUGACAGCCGACAAUACAAUGGAACUAUUUUAUAUUUAAUGUGACAUUUUUAAUUGUUGGAGAAAAAACUUUAAUCAGUAUAAAUAUUUGCUAAAUUCUUUCUUAUUCAAAGUCUUUGCUUAUACACAGCUUCAGUUGGUACUGUCUGAUUAUUAUAUUGAUGUCAACUUAAAAUUUAUCCCAAUAAGCACAGUUACUAAGAGUUUGCACUGUUUAAGGAAAAUUAAGUAAAUAUGAAUUUAAAUUAAAACCUAGGAUUGAAUUAUAGGCUGAAGGUGCAGUCACCCUUCCCCAGUACCAUUCAUAUAACUUGAUUUGAUAAACCUAUCAAAUGAUAUUUUAAAAGAGUCCAUCUCGUGCCUAAAGCUACCUUCAAAACCAUAGCCUCACACACAAGACAUCCUAUAAAUCUUUAAAGGAGUUAGAUCCCUGGGUAUAUUUGCCUGCCUGCCUGUCCUUGUAUGUAACUGGGAAAUACCUGGCUUAUUGCUUUUCUGCUUGAAAACCUGAACCAUUAAAAAAAAUUACACAUAUGUAUUGCUAUGGGGAAGCUCUUAAUAGCCACUCAUUUCAUUACCUGACAUGCAGAUACCUAGCUGCACAAAAUCAUGCAUCCUAGCUUUUCAUAGAUGCAAUACUGCAGGUACCUUGCUCAUGAUCAUAUAUGUUCAUCUCUCUCUGGAGCCUUAUUUCUAAAGCUCAAAUCAAAUGAGGCCAAGAAUUGCUUUAAUAUAGUCUUGCUAAAUAGACAACCCACUGGACAAACAUUAAACUUGGAGAAUAUUUAUUUAUUGUAGUAUGAGGAAGUGUAUGUGCAAGUCUUCUUGUCUGCAAACAGAACCCCUUAUUUUUCAGGGGGAUGAGUAAUGUUUACAAAAGUGGCUUACAGAGACCCAGAUUCUCCAACAAUUCCUCCGAUCAACUGAAACCUGGAUUGCAGUGGCAUCUUCUCAGCUUUUUGGGUGCCAAAGCCAAGAAUUCUGCAGGUGCCAAGCUUUGAGAUGCCCCCCUACCCACACCAGUUUUAUGAAAGUCUGUGUCAGUACUGGACAGCUUCCCGUCUGUCUUUGAAUGAUUUUGCGCGCAUGUGUGUGUGUGUGUUGUUACUUUUUCACCAGGUGCCUUAACUGAAAGGCAAGCCUAACUGGUCUGUACUCCGGUGCUAUGGUCUGGACAGUGCUGAACCUAGCUUUCCUUUUGUCUUGGCUGUUAAAGAAGUAGUACUACCUAUUUCCUUCUCUCCCAACCAAAGCUGUUCUGCAGUUUUCUAGUGGAACAGCUAGAGAUUUUGGAAUGGUGAACUAAUGAUCACUAGUCUGAAUAUUUUUCCCCAUAUCUCUAUGAAGUCUCAAUCCUGCAAACGCCAUACACACACUAGCCCUUAUAGAGCUAAAAGGUGUGAGUCCAGAGAUACCCCUGUUACCUGGCAUAGUAUGCUCUUGCUGCCAGGCUGAGAUAAUGGUGAAGGAAGAAGGUAAGAGGUCCUCUCGAAAAAGCAAAAAGUCUGAGGUCUUUAACCGUUCCUCCUCUCCUAAAAGAGAGCCAAUGCUGCAGGAAAACAUUUGCUCAUCGUGCUGCUUAAGCCAGCACACUUGAAUGAUAUUCUUCCUGGAAGUGCUUACUGCUAGCUGGAGCUGUGCUGUGUGUUCACUGUAUCCUAUCAGUAUCCACCAAUCCAUUGCGAGUGCCUUCAGAGCUGUCUGUUAAGAUAGUUCAAAAGCCUGCUUUUCCCAAUAGGGGUUGGAGAGUGUGUGUACAAGUGCUUUCUGGGAUAGCCUGGCAUUGCUGUUCUAGUUUCUUCAAAGACAGUAAGAAAUAAAAUAUUUUGUUGUUGUUUCUUGCUGCCCAUUUGUUCAAGAGGCAAAUACUGCUCUUCCAAGUUUCUGGCUAAAAAAAAUCCUAUGCUAGUGUGUCUCCCUACAGAAGGCAGAACCAGGAGCACCACCCCAUCUUUCCUUUACCGCCAAAUUGUAGAUCUGUAUUAAUUUGUCUUGACAUAGAUUUGAGACAUCAGAAUCCUGAGUGCAUUUCUUAAUUAAAAUAUGAAUAAUGGCAAUUGAAGGUGCCACAAUGUGAAAGAGUCAACUAAGCUUCAGUCCACUGAGGGUAAAUUAGAGGUACACAUGACAGCUCUAAGGCAGAUAGGGGGCUGGAAUGGAAUGCACCUCUGUAAACUAUUACUGGGCUAAGUUCAAGGUGUUGGUUUUGGUAUAUAAAGUCCUUUAUAGCAUGGGACCAGGAUACGUGAAAUAUUAUACCCUGUAUAUACCCAAUCACUGUGCUCUGUGGGUGAGGACCUCCUGCAGACCCCAGCUUAUGGGAUGCCCUCCCCAGAGAGGUUUGCCUGGCACCAACACUCCAUGAUUUUUUAGUUGUAGGUGAAGAAGCCCUUCCUGUUGUCACAGGACUUUUAAUGACAAUCUAUCAGGUGCUCUAAUUUUUCUACCAAGCUCUCUUUUGCUGUGUUUGAUGCCAUGUUUAAAUUGUUUUGGCUACUGUGUUUUGUUGGUUUUAGUUUUUUUGUUGUUGUUUUUUUGUUUAGCUUCCUGCUUUGUAAAUUUUCUUUAUUAAAUAUUAAAAGUGUUAUUUUAUUGUAAAUUCUAUUUUGGUAUUUUAUUGUCUAUGUAAACUACAUAUGAAAUGAAAAGCACAUAUAAUGGGUGUUCCAUAAAUAAAUAAAUAUUUUUUUU
This is a non-coding RNA of Podarcis lilfordi (Lilford's wall lizard), 6045 nucleotides long. Lineage: Eukaryota; Metazoa; Chordata; Lepidosauria; Squamata; Lacertidae. The record is from the annotation of a GenBank genome assembly.